UGCCAGGGGUGGAAUGCAGACAAAAAAGGGGUCCCCACCUAGGAUAAAGGGAACCUCUGGCUAAAUUUCACCUGUUCCCACUUCCAUUCGUACCAGGUCGUCCUUCCUAAGUCCCAUCCCAACUAAGGCAAAAGCUAAAGAGAAACUUGAGUCCUGUUAUCUGAAGUUGUGUGCAUAUUUAACCUGCCCGGUUGUCUUUCAUACAAACAGGGAGAGGAUAAUUUCUAAUUCCCUGCCUUCACUGUUACUCCAAAAUGUGCAAAGGCCCUCCAUGACUCUCUCCUCAUGGUGACAAUAAUAACCAAAGGAAGCCACUUCAAGGAGGAAAGAUGGGUUUCAGCUCACGCUGACAGUCCUGGGGACCCAGAAGGCAUCUUCAGAGGCCGCCAUGGGGCUAAUUCUUGGGGCAGCUCUCAGGCCAGAACCUGGAGUUGAUGUCACCUUCAAGACCCACUCCCAGCAUCCCUUACAGCAAGUUAGGUUAAAGCCCUAGACUUUGUACAACCUCUCCCAUAGAGGCCACCAGCUGGGGAUCUCAUGUCAAACAUGAGUCUACAGGCCAUAUUCUUCAUCAAAAUGGUAAUGAUGAUUACAGGCCAUCACCCCCAACACUCAAACAAAGUUGCAUUUUACAUGUUAAGCUUUGGGGUCUUGAGCCUUAAAUGACUAUGUGGCAAGCUGAAUAAAGGACAACAUAUGUGCAGUAUGAGGAAUGGCCCCUUGAAACCCAGAGAACUCGGAAUGGAAAGGAAGAACUUUCUGAGGACCAGCUGGUAGUCAGAGCUCUCUGGCUAGGCAUAGCAGAAGAUGGCAUUUGCCUGCGCUAUAGCUACCUGUCUCCUGGUCAAUCCCAAGGCUGGCCAUUGCCCAUUCAUAGGACUUGGGUUACUUUUUCAGUGCUAAGGUAGGAAAUAAAUCUACAAAGAAAGAAGAGAUGAUUAAGAAGAGAGGUGGGUUAGGUCGGAUUGAAGUUUGCUUUUGGACCUGGCUGGCAUUUAGCUUUCUGACUGUACUAGUCCUUGUGAUUCAGCAGUAGCUGACCAAUAUUGGUCCCCCAACCCCAACUCCAUCCCCUCUCUACCCUUCCCCCAACAGGUUCUCUUUACGUGCAGCUCCUAGCCUCCCUCUACUCUCCACUCCAAAAUGUCCUGGUCUGGCCAAGGACUCCCUAGCCUUGCUUUUCAAAAGGCUCCUCACCAGCUCUGAACACCACCGGCUCCCCCUCCUCCCUGCCAGCCCGGCUGGAGUCCGCAGGCACGCCAGGCACACGUGGAAUGCUGCCAGUCGCAGGAGAUCCCAAGCGAGAUAAAAAGCGCACAUCUUUGACCACUUCUUUACCAAACAGACCCAAGAUGUGUAAUUAAAGGCCCCGGGACUCUGCUGGAAAUAGGUUUAAACUUGAGGUCGGGCAGUUGCAACAGACCUCGCCAGCGUGGCUUAAGCAACACAACAAUGUUCUCACAGCUCAGGAGGCUGAGAAGUUCGUUCAGGGUGCUCAGCUGGUUCCUGGAGAGGUCUUCCCUUUCUUGCUUGCUUGUCGACGGCGCUGUCUCCAAAUGCAGCUACACCAGGUGGCUACAGCUUUUCACUUCCGAGUUUGGAGAGACCGUGAUUCAGCCCACAGCACUCAAGUGUGAUUGGAGUAUUCGAAGGACAGUGAGGGAAACAGGACCACACAUGAUGGCUCUUCAAGUCCCACUCAGAGAAUGCGUGAUGCUAUAGAGACCCAGCAAAGGGAGGCUAGAGAGACGGCUCCGUGUUAAGAUCACUUAAUGCUCUCCCAGAGGACCUGAGUUCGGUUCCCAGAGCUUACUCCAGGGUUCACAACUGCCUGGACCUUCAACUCCAGGGCAUCUAAACCCACUGCCCUCUUCUGGCCCUCACAGCUAGACUGACAGCUUACGAGUCACAGCAGUCCUCCUGUUCCCGCUCCCCACAGACCUGCAGCUACAGGCCCACUGGAGACCAUGUCCAGCUUGCUACCUGGGUGCUGAGAUUUGAACCCAGGUCCUCAUGGUUGUGCUGCAAGGGCUCUCAGCCAUCUCUCAGUCCUCCAAGAGAAAAAUUUAAAAGCCUGUUUCCCUUUAUCUCUUUUAAUUAGUGUAUUAAAUAGUGUGUGUGUGUGUGUGUGUGUGUGUAUGUGUGUGUGUGUGUGAGCAUGCACACGCAAGUAUGAGUGUGAAAUUCAGAGGCCAGUUUUUGGAAGCCAGCUCUCUUCUACCAGCUUAUGUGGGUUCUGGGGAUCCCCACUCUCCCAUCUCUGCCUGCUGCCAGGACAACUUGACGAGAGGCACCAUGCCCGGCCAUUAAUCUGUUCUCUGUCACUAGUCCUUUGCCUGGGGGUACCCUGGGUGCCACAUUUGCACAUUGUGUACACUCCAUUUGUACACACACCACUGGAACCAGGAACAUUUGCUCAUGCUUGCUGGCCUUUUUUAAAAGGCAAACUCUUAAAGUAUGUUAUAAGCUAUGUGUGAUUUCCCUGAACAUUUCCAUGUGCGUGUGUCAGAUGUUAAGAGUGUGUUCCUUGGUGGCUUCUGUGCUGUAUCAGAGCAUAGAAAUGCCGCAAAUGCCAUGAGAUACCAGAUCCACAUCUGCAUUUCUUCAGUGUCCCCACAAAUAUCUCCUACAGCUGACUUGUCCAAAUCAGGACCAGAUAGAGAGCCUGGUAGUUACGGCUUUUAAGAUACUUUUAUUGACGAACAUGCCUGGCUCCUUUCCCUCCUUCUCCUUCUAUAUGAUAUCAGACACUGCCUUGUUAAGAUACCGGGCAGGUUGCCUGCUCCUGUGGGGUGGGUCUGCCUGUCUCCCGAGAUGUUUGACUCCUCCCAUCCAUCGCCCCCCUUCAGAGAGGCCUGAAGUUAGGGUUAAGAGCUUAAUUCUGUUCAGAAUGGCCACACGCCCCACUUCCUGGAACCUCCCAUUAAGAGGCAUAUCUUGUUUGCCCCUGCUGUUCUGACGAUGUCUAGAGUAAGAAGGUCCAGUCAGUGUCAAAUUACUUUUGCCAUUUGUUCUACUUGCAGCCGACACACAACACAGUGCAGGGGACAGGGCUUUGGUACCACCUGAAUAUCCAGUUCACCAAAGACAAGAUUUAACCAAUAGCAUUUGAGUCCUUUAUUAUCCCUGAAGGAAUCCUCUGUUUUGUCGGGGCUUCGCAAAAGUGACCUCCUAAUGAUUGGCCUUUCUAUACUGUAAUCUUGAAUCUGUAAAAGAAGACCAGCCCUCUCUUAUUACCCUGAAAUUUAGUUCUUCCUGGCAAGUUGGGAUAAAGGCUGAAUUCCUGAGUUUCCAAGGGUAACCCUGGUCUUUAGGAGGCUGUAGAAUGAACGCGACUGGGGAGCUUGAGGGUCUCCAGAGGAAACUUCAUUUCCUCCACUUUCCCCUGAGAUCACCCCACUUUUUGGGAAACCAGCCAGAGGGACACACGUGUUCUCGAAAGUUCCCGAGUGCGAGCAUUUGUGGCAGGCAGCUGCAGAGCCCCCAGAGCUUUCCACCGAAGCAGAGAGGAAGGGUGUUAGACUUGGUUCCUUCCUCCCCGGAUGCUUAGGGUCCUCAUUCUUUUGGAAUGGGGGGUGGGGGUGGAUCUUUGGGGUGGGACUCUCAUCUCAGGGCUCUUCGCUCUGGCUCUGCUUUGAAGGGACAAGCUCCCGUCAGUCUUCUUUCCAAAUGGCCAUGCGUUUUCCAGUCUUUACUUACUUUGCCCUGACUAACAACAGGCCAAAGGGUUAUCUGUCCAACAUUCACCUAAUGGUAGGAAAGCGUCACCGGUGGUUCAGUUUAUUACCCAGCUGACCCUCCGAGGGACAACCUUAAAGAGCUCAUUGUUCAGUUUGAAUGACUGAUGCUCGCAUACAGAAAGUGGAGUGGGAAGCGUCAGCCCAAAUGGAUGUGUGGAAGCAAACACUAAACCCCCUAUCCUGAUCACCUAUUGGUCUCCUGCCAUAUAUUGAUCCAUUAGCCUCAAACGCCUCUCGGAGAUGGGUAGCAUCGUCCUAUAGUUCUGAUGAGAUAACUGCACAGCCUAUCCAGGGCCACUCGGCUCUUACACUCAGGCCCUGUGUGAGCCACGCCUGCAUUCCACCUAGCACCGGGUACUGUUUGUUCUCUUACCAAGUGUUCUGUGAAACAGGAGUAUAGAGAAAUGGGGCUGUCAUGGUUACUAUAUAACAUUGUUGCUUUGGGAUUUCCCCCAUUUCACAUGUAACUAUUGAAACAAUAUUGUGUUAACUAUGUAUUAAAUAUAUUGCAUAGUAAAGAAAAUCUUCAUAGGAAAAAAUAUGCCUUAUAACCACAGCACCUUAAUUUAAUAAGUGCUUUUAUUUUUAAAUAUCUCCCUCAGAUCUUUGCCCCUAGGCGUUGGUAUUCCUGCAUAGGACUGAUCAGCACAGAUGCUAUUUCAUGCUUUCUUGUUUGACUUUAUAUGCAUUAUAAAUAUUUUUAUGAAGCCCUUACAUUUUCAGGGUUACAGACUGGAUCCUACCUCACUGGGUAAGUACAGCAUUUACUUAGCCAAUCUAACUCGUGUAGGCCUCAUCUGGAUAGAUAUACAUUUCUGCUAGAAAAAGAAAAACAAAGUGAGGCUAGAGAGUUGGCUUAGCAGUUAAAAGCACUGACUGCUCUUCCAGAAGUCCUGAGUUCAAAUCCUUAGCACCCACAUGGUGGCUCACAGGGUCUAUAACUGUAUUCCUCGGAAUCCUAUGUCUUCUUCUGGUGUGCAGAUGUACAUGAAAAUCAAACACCCAUAUACAUCAAAUACAC
Molecule: long non-coding RNA, 4761 nt
Organism: Mus musculus (house mouse)
Lineage: Eukaryota; Metazoa; Chordata; Mammalia; Rodentia; Muridae
Product: predicted gene, 41704
Exons: 5
Source: RefSeq, a predicted model, not a curated record